UACAGAGGUGGCAAGCGUUGUUCGGAAUUACUGGGCGUAAAGAGCGCGCAGGCGGUCGUUCAAGUCGCGUGUGAAAGCCCCCGGCUCAACUGGGGAGGGUCACGCGAUACUGAUCGACUCGAAGGCAGGAGAGGGUAGUGGAAUUCCCGGUGUAGUGGUGAAAUGCGUAGAGAUCCGGAGGAACCCCAGAGGCGAAGGCGGCGCCCUGGCCCGACACUGACGCUCAGACACGACAGCAUGGGGAGCGAACGGG
Molecule: ribosomal RNA, 253 nt
Filed under: uncultured bacterium
Lineage: Bacteria
Description: partial 16S ribosomal RNA
Rfam family: Bacterial small subunit ribosomal RNA
Source: RNAcentral